RNAcentral lists this long non-coding RNA (7925 nucleotides) under Eucalyptus grandis. RNAcentral describes it as "long non-coding RNA (EGRA_LNC000189)". The record is from RNAcentral. Lineage: Eukaryota; Viridiplantae; Streptophyta; Magnoliopsida; Myrtales; Myrtaceae.
CCGAAUGCAUCCCCCAUCUUCUUCUUUUUCUUCAAGACUCCAUGGAAGCUGAAGAUCAGCGAACCAGCAGGCCGAAGUAGCGAUUCCUCUCGGCGUCGAUGCAGCAAGCAACCGGAGCCGGAGUCGCUGCUGUCCGCCGUCCUGCUGCCCGUGCACAGCUCCGUCCCUCUCUCUUCCGCCCUUCUUGUUCGAACAUAGCAGAACAGAAGCAGAGACAGCACCACCGAGGGGAAGAUCGGAGCAGAUCGUCGUCGCGUCGGGGCACCGUCGCCGCCCGCGCACUCUGCCACCGCCCGAAAGCCCUCCACCUCUCUUUCAUCUCAUCAGCCACUGUUGACGUUCCCCUCCGUUUGCUGCUCGGGAUCUCAGAUCUGGGAAGACACCGGAGUUGGGGCAGCAGCUGGCGUUGCUGGACCGGAGCUGCCGCACCGCCGCCCGCGCGACGCCAUGCGCUCCGCCGCUGCUUCGCUCAGCUCGGUCUCCCUCUCGCCCAGCUCGUUGUUCCAGAGCUGCUGUCCAACCCCUGUUCCGCCUCUGUCCAGCAAGUGCAAGACCCGCCGGAGCUUCCUCCGACCACCUCCGGCCACCGUGAAGCCUCGCCUUGGUCUUGUUCAGCUCCUCCGCCCAUUCCCGAGCCCAACCAGCCUCGGAUCCGCCCUCCUUCGCCUCCAACCAGCAGCGAUCAGUGAGUGCAGAAAGUGGGUAUCGCAGAGGGUUUUGGCCCGUUUUGGCCGUUUUCCCGAGCCCGGAUGCUCGGCCCGCUUUGAGGAAAGUUGAUCCUCGCGUCGAGCCCGUCGUUUUGAGUGAGUUUUACUCACUAACGCCUUCUUAGUGCGCUAAUUAUACUUAAAGGUUGAUUAGUGUUAAUUAAGUGUAAUUAGGUUGUUAGAUUAGAUUUGAUUAGUGAUUAUUAGUUAAUUGCUUUGCAUAUUAGUUGUGUGAUUAGUGUAAUUAGAUAGAGAAUUGCUUGUAGUAUUUAUUGGAUGCUUCUUGGGAUUUUUCCCGUCCCUUAUCGGGUGUUAAUUAAGCAAAUCGGGCUUAUGUGGUAUUUUUAGGAAUUAAAUAUUAAUUUUCGAAAUUAAUUAUUUAAUUAUUUAUUUCCCGGAAAUUCAACUGGGAUGGCCAGUGACCGGGAUUUUAUGCUGAUGAUCGUGGCGCAGUCCGUUUAUUUAAUUGAGCUUUAUAUUGUGUUAAAUUGAAUUUAUUGUAUUUAUUUAUUUAAUUUUCGAAAUUAAUUAUUUAAUUAUUUAUUUUCCGGAAAUUCAACUGGGAUGGCCAGUGACCGGAAUUUCGUGCUGAUUGUCGUGGAGCAGUCCGUUUAUUUAUUUGAGCUUUAAUUUACGUCGAAUUGAUUUAAUGGUGCAUUUUUAAGUAUGUUAUUAAAUAAUGCAAUUUUGGUCUUGUGAUUGAGAAUUGGUCGGAUAUCGGUUGUUAGUAUCGAAAGUGAGUUGGUAAAUCACCUUGAGGAUGCACGUGGCCCAGUGAAUUGGAAUAUCACUUGGGAAAGACACGUGGCUCGGUGAUUUAAUAUGUCAUCUUGGCGAAAAGAUAGCCUUAGAGAAUGCACGUGGCUCGGAGACUCGGUAUGUCCUCCUGGAGCAUGCACGUGGCUCGGUGACAUAGUAUGACAUCUUGAGAGGGUCGGGUGGGACCGUAAAGCCACUAGUUCUUGAGAGGGUCGGGUGGGACCGAAAAGCCACUAGUUCUUGAGAGGGUCGGGUGGGACCGAAAAGCCACUAGUUCUGAGAGGGUCGGGUGGGACCGAAAAGCCACUAGUUCUCGAGAGGGUCGGGUGGGACCGUAAAGCCACUAGUUCUUGAGAGGGUCGGGUGGGACCGAAAAGCCACUAGUUCUCGAGAGGGUCGGGUGGGACCGCAAAGCCACUAGUUCUUGAGAGGGUCGGGUGGGACCGUAAAGCCACUAAAUCCAAGGAAUUGCUUGGUGUUGGAUGAAUGACCUAGAAAUGAUUCGACUAGGUCGAUUGAUCGAUGAUUCGAUCCGAGUGUGAUUUGAUGCGAUUCAUUGCCUUGGUUUGAUGUUGUGAAUUGAAUGAUUGAAGGGAGAUGAUCGUGAGUGGUCUUCCUAAUGUGAAAUCGACUAAGUCGAUUAGAUCGAUGCUUCGAUCUGUGAUGUGAUUGCUUGUGUGCCUAUUCGAACUGUACUAAUAUGCAGGUGGAAUCUGAGGCUAAGGUACGUCCUCUGACUCAUGUUGUGCGUAGGCAGCCCUAAGGUAUAUUAGUUUACUAAUUGGGUCUUAGGAGCUAGAACUUGCUGAGACGUGGUCUCAGUGGUUAUUGAAUAACCAUUUCAGGACCUGGAUGAGGAGCAUGAAUCUGAUGAGGAGAUCUCUGUUGAGGAACCCAAAGAGGAGUAUGUGGAGGAGGACCCCGAGUAUGACAUCGAGUACGACUCGGAUGAGGAUCGAAAUCCUAUCCUGUCUUGUCAGACCUUGUUCGCAUGUAAAAAGAUGUAGUUGUGAAUUUUCAGUAAGAAAAAUAUAUCCCUAGAAUAUGCGUAUCCCAUUGCUUUAUUGUCUGGGGAAUUAUAACUGCUUCCGCAUGUGCAUAUAUAAAAGAAAGGGUCGGCGAUACAUAGUCCUGGGAUAUCGCAUUUUUAAAUCGACCAAAAGUAAGGGAUGUGUGCGUGCCUGAGGGUCGGGGCGUGACAUCCCCUUUUUGUGGUAUCAGAGCAAUGGUUAGGUAUUGGAGUGAUAAGGUGCGAUGACCUAUGGGAUAGUAGUAGGAAAGACCUUUAAAUUCAUGACUGGUGCAUGUGUUUGAUAGCUGAUUGGUAGAAUUGUUUGUCAUGUGUGAAUCGCUUGCUUUUAAUCAUUGUGAAUUCGGAAGGCAGAGUGUUGACUCUGGCCAGCUUGAGCGUAAGAGUGCCAUCGCAGGUUGGUACUAGUGUAGCAGCAGUGAUUGAUCCUAAGCCCGAUAAGAUUGAUUUGAUGCAAGUGUUUCUUGGGAUCUGAAUGAGCCGGUAAGAUCAGGAUCAAGUUGUUGUUGUUGCUACCUUUGUUGAGGUCCAACCUGGAAGGAUAGUCAGGGAACAUAUUUCGAUUUUUGAGUCAAGAUUCAGCGCAAGCAGACUGGGAAUUCGGUCAGGGGAAAAGACUGAUGUUGAGGGAAGAGUAUUUUGUUCCACUCAAUAGGAAUGGUGGAAUAGUCAGGUCAGCAUUCAGACAAACGGAACAUGUUGUUCUAUGGAAGAUGAUAUAGAUCAGUCUCGUGUAUUAUGAGGGCAAGAAAUUGUGGUAAGUGUCGCCAGUACGGACAGUGAUUUAUGGUGUAUUCGCAUAAGAAGAUGGAAUCUUGACAAUAGUUACUGUUGUCACUGUUGGUAGAACAGUUCAGGAGAAGUGCGCCAUAGAACGCACUGUGGAAUUGCUGGGAUAGGUCUCUGGCACAAGAAGUAGUGCAUCCUAGCACUUGACAAGAGGUAAAAGACUCACCAGAUAGGUGUCGAAAUGGUGGAAGAAAACCUGGAUGAAUUCAGUAUCCAGGUAUGGUGAGAAGAACGGAAAUGGAACCGACCUGGCACUAGGCAGAGGAAGAAUGUUUUGGGGGAAAAUUCUAUCAGAGUAUCGUAGCAGAGUUUGGAUGAAGUUUGGGGAACUUCAGUUUAUUGAAAUAAGUGGAAGAAAGGGGAAUCACCAGUUAUUGUUCUUUGGAUUAAUAGAACCGAAGGUACGGAUGUGAAGAUUGAUGAAUGAGGAAUUCAUGCAUAUUAGUGCAUCGCUUUAAGGAACAUCAGUUUUGUAGAAAGAGAAAGGAAGAUGGUUCAUUGCAAUCAUGCAUCAACCAUAGUCAACUUAAUUGGGUGACUUGUUAUAAAGAGUGUUGAUGUCUUCAAGGAUUGACUUAAGGACAGAUUAUUGUCAGUUGAGAACCAGAAAGGAGGUGAUACUGAAGACAACACUUCGCACUUGAUUUAGCCCCUGUGAGAAUAAUGUAAAGCCAUUUGAUUUGACGAAUGCUCUAGCCGUUGUCAUAGACUUGACAAACUGAGUAUUUAAAGAAUAUCUAGAUCAAUGGUGAUCGUGUGGUGUAGUGACAUUCUAGGGUAUUCAUUAAGUGAUGAGGAUCACGAGAGCCCCUAAGAAUGGUCAUGUGAUUACAGGUUAAGGAAUCUUCAUGGACCUAGCCAAGAUCGAAUCAGUUGUUAAUGGACCGAGACUGACAUCAACGUCAGAGAUCAUAAGCUGUGGGGAUUGGACAGAUUACUACAGAAGGGUUGUGAAAGAAUUUUCAACAGCAGUACCAUCGUGGGCUUGAUCUCUUAAGAAAGAAGAAAAAAUUCAUCAGCAUAGAUAAGUACGAGGAUAGUUUCCAAAGCUCAAGUAAGAAUUGACUAUCGUACUCGUGCUAAACUUUUCAUUUGGCUCUGGAAAGCACGGAAUCUUUAGUGAUGUGUCAUGUAAAGGAUGGUUAUGCAUUGAUACAACAUAAGAAGAUUGUUGCAUCACCGUUCUGCCAGUUGAGACCCAAUAAGUGGAAUACGAAGCGGUGUCGUGAACCAUAAUUUUGGCAGAACUAUAAUAGUGAUAUCGGGUAUCACCUUGGAGGAUUGAAAUGAGUCAUUAAUGUGUUGAGCCGAGAGUCUUCAAUUGUGCAUAGACUGGUUAAAGUGUAGACUUUACUUGAAAAGACUUCCAAGCUUGGUUUUCAAAUUUGAGGUAGGCUACCUUUUGAAUUUUUAUAGCCACCCUCAAGAUUGAACCAAAUGUUCAAGUUAGAAUCAGCGCCUAGUUGGCAGACAAAGAUGUUCAGAAGAUCUUAUAAGAGGAUACUGGUAAGAAGGAAUCUGACUUUAAGAUUUAUGAGAAUGGAAAGUUCAGGUUCCAUGAGUGAUUGAAUACCCUUGACAGUGUAGCACUCAGGGAAAAGAUCUUGUCGGAAGUUCACUAUAGUAUUGCAGUUUUGACCAGAUGGUGCAAAUAAAUCAGAAUCGGCAUCAGCUAGAUUAGUAAGCUGAUAUGAAGAUAAAUAUUGCUGAGCAGGUUGCAAGUGUCAGAAGUGUCAGUAAGUGGAAGCUCGGUAAUGUGAAUCGGGAGAAUUUUUACCAUCACUUGAGAGUCCCAAGUGGAAAUGGAAAUAUAUCACAAUGGAACAUUGUGAUAGUCUUACUAAGGAUUCAGGGGAUUACUGAUACCAUUUGAGAAUAGUGGUCGAUCGAUAGAUGGAGUUGAUCCACUUUGGUACAGUACGAAUAGAUCUUGUUUUGAGUGUGUAACAUCCAGAUUUCGAGCUCUGAUUUCGAUUAGAUAAAUUGGGCAUUUCAUCGACGCGAUUACAGUGUUUUUCUCUGAGUUGGCCACUCAUGAGAUAACUAGACUAGCUGGGUGAGUUAUUAAGGACCUUAAGGCAAAUAGACGUGAGAAUUCGACCAAUGAUCGACUUCUCGACCGUGCUCAUCUUUAGAGAUCAUUACGGCACAGUUAAAAAUCGAAUUAAAAUCGAAGAUAGGUUGGCUCGACUGAGAUAAGUGACCAAUCGUGGGUGACCCCACUAAAUUGGAAAACUCUCGUCGACUGGCACUAAUUUGACUUUACUGUCGGUUUGGUACCCUGUGUCCGUAUUUGAAUCUUUGAGAUUUUCACGACAAUCGAGAGUCGUCAAUGUGUCGAGUGGGUUUAUUGUGGUUCGAAGAAAAUCGACCACGGGUCAUUUGUCCUAAAAAGUUCUGAAAACUACCUAGUAGCCUAGGUCACACUAAAAGCGUGUCGGAGUGAAAUUAACCGCCAAUCUAAGUUCGAUUUCAGAAAUUGAAGAUUCUAUCUUAUCAGAGUGGGUAUACCGAAGUGUGUGUGCAUCAGAUAAUUCGCCGGCAUGGAGUGCCGGGGAUAAAUUAUAUUUUGAAUCUAGCUCAGAGAUUAUCAAUUUGGCAAAGCUUUCAAAGGGUUCUUUCUUAAGCAGUGUUAUAGAAGAGGGUACAGAAUUUCAGUGGUGAAAAGAAAGUGAAGAAGAUUUCAGGCCAAAGUCAGUACAGUAGUCAGUGAUUGCGGUUGCCAAGAUCAGUGCUAGAGUUAUAGUAGAUCUUGACCAGAAGUUCCCAGUUUCAGCAGAUCAAUCAGAUAGUUUCCUUUUAAUCAGUGCAGAGCAAAGUGUACAGGAUUUCAGUCGGUUGGGAUGAGAUCAGAAAUCAAAAAAUCGCAAGUCCAAAGUCAACUAAGAAAUCGGUGUGUACAGUUGUCAGAUCAAUGUCAGAGUAAAGACUGCUCAGAACUGUCAGAAAGCUUGAAUCGUUGAGGUUCGAAGGUUCAUUAGGGAGUCGAGAAGAAGAGAUCAGAUGUGAAAGAUGGAGUGUCAUAUAUGAGAAGCUCAGUUCAGUUGUUGGUUCAGAAAGAACAGAUUUUGUGUACAAAGAUGAUCUCUUUGGUCAAAGUGGUCGGACAACGCCACGAGACCGAAUGAUCGGCGUGGAAAAGUGAGACUCGGUGAGACGACAAUACUCCCAUCCUUCGUAUAAGGAUUGGUAAAGGUUUAAAUUUCGAGGACGAAAUUUUUAUAAGAGGGGAAGAGUUGUGACAUCCAGAUUUUCGGGUUUUAAUUUGACUGGAUAAAUAGGGCCGUUUUGUUCAGUUGAAGCCAGAGAUUGUGAAUUCGGGAUACAAGUGGGCUAUACUGAUAAGAAAAAGUACCAAUUUGAUCGAUGAAAUAUUGAAUGAAAUUAUAGGGGUCAAAUUGAUUUGAUUCAAGUGGGAUUAAGGUUCAAUUUGGAAAGAAACCUUAGCAAAAUUCGUAUGCCCAUAAACCCAACUCUUUAGCCUACCUAAAUGCUUCUAGAAGGGGGCAUAAUUGUCAAAAAUGAGGAGUGGAUGACAGCUGAUGGUGGCCCACGGAUGGCUGACCUAAGAGAGAGAGUGUGUGAGAAGAAAAUGAGAAAUUGGUUUUCUCUUCUUCUCUCUCUCCCCUCCGUCGACCGAAUGCAUCCCCCAUCUUCUUCUUUUUCUUCAAGACUCCAUGGAAGCUGAAGAUCAGCGAACCAGCAGGCCGAAGUAGCGAUUCCUCUCGGCGUCGAUGCAGCAAGCAACCGGAGCCGGAGUCGCUGCUGUCCGCCGUCCUGCUGCCCGUGCACAGCUCCGUCCCUCUCUCUUCCGCCCUUCUUGUUCGAACAUAGCAGAACAGAAGCAGAGACAGCACCACCGAGGGGAAGAUCGGAGCAGAUCGUCGUCGCGUCGGGGCACCGUCGCCGCCCGCGCACUCUGCCACCGCCCGAAAGCCCUCCACCUCUCUUUCAUCUCAUCAGCCACUGUUGACGUUCCCCUCCGUUUGCUGCUCGGGAUCUCAGAUCUGGGAAGACACCGGAGUUGGGGCAGCAGCUGGCGUUGCUGGACCGGAGCUGCCGCACCGCCGCCCGCGCGACGCCAUGCGCUCCGCCGCUGCUUCGCUCAGCUCGGUCUCCCUCUCGCCCAGCUCGUUGUUCCAGAGCUGCUGUCCAACCCCUGUUCCGCCUCUGUCCAGCAAGUGCAAGACCCGCCGGAGCUUCCUCCGACCACCUCCGGCCACCGUGAAGCCUCGCCUUGGUCUUGUUCAGCUCCUCCGCCCAUUCCCGAGCCCAACCAGCCUCGGAUCCGCCCUCCUUCGCCUCCAACCAGCAGCGAUCAGUGAGUGCAGAAAGUGGGUAUCGCAGAGGGUUUUGGCCCGUUUUGGCCGUUUUCCCGAGCCCGGAUGCUCGGCCCGCUUUGAGGAAAGUUGAUCCUCGCGUCGAGCCCGUCGUUUUGAGUGAGUUUUACUCACUAACGCCUUCUUAGUGCGCUAAUUAUACUUAAAGGUUGAUUAGUGUUAAUUAAGUGUAAUUAGGUUGUUAGAUUAGAUUUGAUUAGUGAUUAUUAGUUAAUUGCUUUGCAUAUUAGUUGUGUGAUUAGUGUAAUUAGAUAGAGAAUUGCUUGUAGUAUUUAUUGGAUGCUUCUUGGGAUUUUUCCC